UACGAAGGGGGCUAGCGUUGUUCGGAAUCACUGGGCGUAAAGCGCGCGUAGGUGGCUUGCUAAGUCGGGAGUGAAAGCCUGGGGCUUAACCUCAGAAUUGCUCUCGAUACUGGUAAGCUAGAGUCUGGAAGAGGAGUGUGGAAUACCGAGUGUAGAGGUGAAAUUCGUAGAUAUUCGGUGGAACACCAGUGGCGAAGGCGACACUCUGGGACAUGACUGACACUGAGGCGCGAAAGCGUGGGGAUCAAACAGG
Molecule: ribosomal RNA, 253 nt
Filed under: uncultured bacterium
Lineage: Bacteria
Description: partial 16S ribosomal RNA
Rfam family: Bacterial small subunit ribosomal RNA
Source: RNAcentral